CACCUCGUCACCGAUGUUGAGAUUCUCCUUCCACGCUUUGAUCACGAAGACAUCGUUGACCGCAAUGCAGGCGAUGGUCUCGACGCCCUUCGCCUUGAGCUCCCCCGACUUUUCCACGAAUCCCGGGACGUGUUUCUGGGAGCAGGUCGGGGUGAAGGCGCCGGGGACGGCGAAGAGGACGGCCUUCUUGGAUUUGGUGAGGUCGGAGACAGUCACGGUCUGGACGUCGCCGGCGGCGUCCAGAUAGGACAGGGUGGCUUCGGGGAGCUUGUCGCCGACGGCGAUGGUGGCGGAUAUGGGUUUGGAGGCGGUGGUGGAGAAGCGGAGGAGGGGUUUUGGGCGGGGGGAGUGUUUGAGGGGGAGAGGGGUGUAGGAGAUUUUGGAGGAGAAGGAUUUGGGAGAGAAGAGAGAUGUUUUGGGUGCGACGGCGGCGGUGGUGGUGGAGAAAGCGAGGGACUUGGGGGCUGUGAGGAGCCUUGAGAUCGUGAGGGAGGCUGCCAUGUUUGGUGGUUUGAGUUUUAG
Molecule: long non-coding RNA, 522 nt
Filed under: Malus domestica (apple)
Lineage: Eukaryota; Viridiplantae; Streptophyta; Magnoliopsida; Rosales; Rosaceae
Description: long non-coding RNA (MDOM_LNC011035)
Source: RNAcentral